Oncorhynchus keta (chum salmon) is the source of this 1841-nucleotide long non-coding RNA. RefSeq lists it as uncharacterized. NCBI's taxonomy places the organism in Eukaryota, Metazoa, Chordata, Actinopteri, Salmoniformes, Salmonidae. The record is from RefSeq and is a predicted model, not a curated record. The transcript has 3 exons.
CCCAGGGCUAGGUGCUAGGUCUGCUCUACUGGUGUCCCCCAGGGCUAGGUGCUAGGUCUGCUCUACUGGUGUCCCCCAGGGCUAGGUGCUAGGUCUGCUCUACUGAUGUCCUCCAGGGCUAGGUGCUAGGUCCGCUCUACUGGUGUCCCCCAGGGCUAGGUGCUAGGUCUGCUCUACUGAUGUCCUCCAGGGCUAGGUGCUAGGUCCGCUCUACUGGUGUCCCUCAGGGCUAGGUGCUAGGUCAUCUCUACUGGUGUCCCCAGAGCUAGGUACUAGGUCAUCUCUACUGGUGUCCCCCAGGGCUAGGUACUAGGUUCUCUCUACUGGUGUCCCUCAGGGCUAGGUACUAGGUCAUCUCUACUGGUGUCCCUCAGGGCUAGGUACUAGGUCAUCUCUACUGGUGUACCUCAGGGCUAGGUACUAGGUCAUCUCUACUGGUGUCCCUCAGGGCUAGGUACUAGGUCAUCUCUACUGGUGUCCCUCAGGGCUAGGUACUAGGUCAUCUCUACUGGUGUCCCUCAGGGCUAGGUACUAGGUCAUCUCUACUGGUGUCCCUCAGGGUUAGGUGCUAGAUCCUCUACUGGUGUCCCCCAGGGCUAGGUGCUAGGUCCUCUCUACUGGUGUCCCCCAGAGCUAGGUACUAGGUCAUCUCUACUGGUGUCCCCCAGGGCUAGGUACUAGGUCAUCUCUACUGGUGUCCCCCAGGGCUAGGUACUAGGUCAUCUCUACUGGUGUCCCCCAGGGCUAGGUGCUAGGUCCUCUCUACUGGUGUCCCCCAGAGCUAGGUACUAGGUCAUCUCUACUGGUGUCCCCCAGGGCUAGGUACUAGGUCAUCUCUACUGGUGUCCCCCAGGGCUAGGUACUAGGUCAUCUCUACUGGUGUCCCUCAGGGCUAGGUGCUAGGUCCUCUCUCAACUCUCUCCUUUCGGGCAUUUGUGACCACAACUCCAUUUUGCUCCUCCCUUCCUAUAGGCAGAAACUCAAAAAGAUGUAGCUGUACUAAGGACUAUUCAACACUGGUCUGACCAAUCGGAAUCCACGCUUCAAGAUUGUUUUGAUCACGCGGACUGGGAUAUGUUCCGGGUAGCCUCUGGGAAUAUCAAUGUAUACACUGAUUCGGUGAGUGAGUUUAUAAGGAAGUGUAUAGGAGAUGUUAUACCCACUGUGACUAUUAAAACCUACCCUAACAGGAACCGUGGAUAGAUGGCAGAAUUCGCGCAAAACUGAAAGUGCGAACCACUGCAUUUAACUCCGGAAAUGUGACCGAAUACAAAACAGUGUAGUUAUUCCCUCAGUAAGGCAAUCAAACAGCCAAAAUGUCAGUACAAAGUAUAGAGUCGCAAUUCAACGGCUCAGACACACCUUUGAGGACAAUACAGUGCCCUCUACCAAAGAAUGUGGCCUCUCCUUCUCCGUGGCCGACGUGAGUAAGACAUUUAAACGUGUUAACUCUCGCAAGGCUGCCGUCCCAGACAGCAUCCCUAUCCGCGUCCCCAGAGCAUGCGCAGACCAGCUGGCUGGUGAGUUUACGGACAUAUUCAAUCUCUCCCUAUCCCAGUCCGCUGUCCCCACAUGCUUCAAGAUGGCCACCAAGAGUGUGCAAAGCUGUCAUCAAGGCAAAAGGGUGGCUACUUUGAAGUGUUUUUAACACUUUUUGUGGUUACUACAUGAUUCCAUAUUAUGUUAUUUCAACGUUUUGAUGUCUUCACUACCAUCGUACAAUGCAGAAAAUAGAAAAUAGAAAAAAGAAAAACCCUUGAAUGAGUAGGUGUGUCCAAACUUCUGACUGGUACUGUACAUCUAAAUGACAUGCUGAAAACAACAGCAUGGUCACACAUAGG